RNAcentral lists this long non-coding RNA (332 nucleotides) under Elaeis guineensis (African oil palm). RNAcentral describes it as "long non-coding RNA (EGUI_LNC079061)". The record is from RNAcentral. Lineage: Eukaryota; Viridiplantae; Streptophyta; Magnoliopsida; Arecales; Arecaceae.
GAUCUAUGCCAUGUUGAGGACAAAUCCUCAAGUGUGCCAAAGAACUCAUUCAACAUAUGAAGCAUCUCUUUUGGUUGAGCAUCAUCAAAUUUACAACUAAAUUUGUCACUCAUAGUAGUCCUCAUUAUGCAACAUACUGUCAUACAAUCAUUGAGCCACUUCUGAUAAGCGUCUCUCAUCAUCGCAUCUAAAUUGGAAGCUUGUACUUUAGGUAUUGAAUCUGUAAUCACAUAUAGGAUCCUCUCAUACUCGAGAACUAUUCUCAACUUUUGAUAUCAAUUAUCAAAAUUGGAUCUCAUAAAUUUGUUACUAUCCAAUAGUGAGUGGAGCGA